Molecule: ribosomal RNA, 292 nt
Filed under: uncultured bacterium
Lineage: Bacteria
Description: partial 16S ribosomal RNA
Rfam family: Bacterial small subunit ribosomal RNA
Source: RNAcentral
GUGUCAGCAGCCGCGGUAAGACGAACCACACAAACGUUAUUCGGAAUUACUGGGCUUAAAGGGUGCGUAGGCGGCGCGGAAAGUUGGGUGUGAAAUCCCUCGGCUCAACCGAGGAACUGCGCCCAAAACUACCGUGCUCGAGGGAGAUAGAGGUGAGCGGAACUUAGGGUGGAGCGGUGAAAUGCGUUGAUAUCCUAAGGAACACCCGUGGCGAAAGCGGCUCACUGGGUCUUCUCUGACGCUGAGGCACGAAAGCUAGGGUAGCGAACGGGAUUAGAUACCCCAGUAGUCC